This 517-nucleotide ribosomal RNA is filed under the name uncultured bacterium. Its description in RNAcentral is "bacterial SSU rRNA". It matches the Rfam family "Bacterial small subunit ribosomal RNA", at positions 996 to 1512 of the family's 1533-position model. The record is from RNAcentral.
CCCUGCUGAGAGGUGGGGGUGCCCGAAAGGGAGCCUGGACACAGGUGCUGCAUGGCUGUCGUCAGCUCGUGUCGUGAGAUGUUGGGUUAAGUCCCGCAACGAGCGCAACCCUUGUCAUUAGUUGCCAUCAUUUGGUUGGGCACUCUAAUGAGACUGCCGGUGACAAACCGGAGGAAGGUGGGGAUGACGUCAAGUCCUCAUGGCCCUUAUGGGUAGGGCUUCACACGUCAUACAAUGGUCGGUACAGAGGGUUGCCAAGCCGCGAGGUGGAGCCAAUCCCAGAAAGCCGAUCGUAGUCCGGAUCGCAGUCUGCAACUCGACUGCGUGAAGUCGGAAUCGCUAGUAAUCGUGGAUCAGCAUGCCACGGUGAAUACGUUCCCGGGUCUUGUACACACCGCCCGUCACACCAUGGGAGUGGGUUUCACCAGAAGUAGGUAGCCUAACCGCAAGGGGGGCGCUUACCACGGUGGGAUUCAUGACUGGGGUGAAGUCGUAACAAGAUAACCUUAAUUAAAAA